CUGGGACUCCUGAUGCUAGAUCAAAAGAAACUUUGCAGAUUAUGCUUGCUCUGGAGAAGGUGAGCUGCCAAAUAAGACAUCUGGAUACUGUGAGACUACCAUGUUGGAUAGGCCACAAGUGGGUACUCUGGUCAAAAGUCCCAGCGGAGUAAGAUAUGGAGAGCUAGGCCUAUAAGUGUACAAACUGUGUGAUUGCAUAGGGCUGUGCUAGUGCCUUCCUGAAAAUCUUUAAAGAAUUAUCAGAGGAGCAGGCUAGUUGUUGCAAGAGUGGAUUGUUAUAAGGCAAGCCCAGCUCCUGGAGCUCCUCUCUUAGGCACACUCUCACUUGCCCUUUUGCUCUCCCACCAUGGAAUAGCACAGCAUGAUGGUCCUCACAAGAUGCUGGUGCCAUGCUCUUGGACUUCCCAGUCUCCAGAACUGUGUUCCAGCUAGAAGAUUUGGAUGAAAAGUGAUUCCAAAAAAAUGAGGCAAUCUCAUCCCGAAACUAUUUAAAACUACUCUCCUCUCUCUUGAUAAACCGUCAGUAGGAAGUGUGUCGUUUAUUCCCUCACUCCACACUGGAUUCAUAUGGGCUGAUAGCAGCAGGAUUAAAAAUUUUUUUCAUCAUGAGUUAAA
This 615-nucleotide long non-coding RNA is filed under the name Homo sapiens (human). RNAcentral's name for it is "HSALNT0373968". Lineage: Eukaryota; Metazoa; Chordata; Mammalia; Primates; Hominidae. The record is from RNAcentral.